RNAcentral lists this long non-coding RNA (894 nucleotides) under Felis catus (domestic cat). RNAcentral's name for it is "lncRNA (ENSFCAG00000047934.1)". The record is from RNAcentral. Lineage: Eukaryota; Metazoa; Chordata; Mammalia; Carnivora; Felidae.
UCCUGCUGCUGAUUGCCUUGCCAAGAGCCACCAUCUCCACGCAACAUGGUUUGCCAUUUGGAAAACAAAGUCACUGCCAAUCAUUGUUGAAAGUCAGCAUGCAAUCGCCAACAUUUCUCUUAUUCAUCUGCCUGUCUACGAGCUUAUGAAUCAGUUUGAUGAAGUGUGGACCACUUCUCCCUGAUUCUCUUCUUCCAUCAUCUUAUGAGUCAUAUGCUAACUUCAUGCAUCCUGAUACCGAGUCAUGAUCUCUGCCUUAACUCCACAGUCAAGAUCUUCACCCUCUCCCUAUCAGUAACAUAGAGAAAGAAAUCCUCAGGAUUCAUACAUAGGUGUCUGCAACUACUAUAAGGAAAUUUCACAGUGGAUGUCAUGUACCUGACAUGGACAGACUCAUAUCCCAGACUGUGUCUCCUGCCUUGAUGAAGGGCACUUACAUUCAUCUCUCCAGACAAGUUAGAAAAACAUCCUGGGACUGAGCACCAGCAAGAUGUUCAUCUGAGUGUCUUCUUUAACCACAGAAGUAAUAUUCUCCAGUAUAUGCAGGUGACAUCUGGGACAAAGUUGUAGACAUUAGUAUCCUACAGUUCAGCCAUCAGCAGCCUCAUGUGGGGGCAGUGGGACCUUCCCUUUAGAGAUCUUGGAUCUUUUUGCUGGAGCCUUGGGCUCCAUCCAAGCCCCUCAGCACUCCUCUGCAUCAGAUACAGAACAUGGACACAGCACUGGGAAUUGAGCUAACCACACCAUGGAAAUUUUACCUUUGAGCCAUCCACAAUCUCUACAAAGCACCAUGCUUGAGUUUUAUCUGGUAUUCUCUGAAGAGAUGCCUGAUUCAUAACAGGGGGCAGAGAUAAAUCAAGGUAACAAUAUUUGUUAAUUACUUUUAUAUGUUGG